Molecule: ribosomal RNA, 520 nt
Filed under: uncultured Glomeromycotina
Lineage: Eukaryota; Fungi; Glomeromycota
Description: SSU rRNA
Rfam family: Eukaryotic small subunit ribosomal RNA
Source: RNAcentral
AGCAGCCGCGGUAAUUCCAGCUCCAAUAGCGUAUAUUAAAGUUGUUGCAGUUAAAAAGCCCGUAGUUGAACUUCGGGGUUUACCCAUUGGUCAGGCUUAAUUGUCUGUACUGGUGAGAUAAAUCUCUACCUUCUGAGGAACUUUCAUGUCAUUAAUUUGGUGUGAUUGGAAAUCAGGACUGUUACUUUGAAAAAAUUAGAGUGUUUAAAGCAGGCUAACGUCUGAAUACAUUAGCAUGGAAUAAUGAAAUAGGACGGACUGAUUCUAUUUCGUUGGUUUCUAGGAUCACCGUAAUGAUUAAUAGGGAUAGUUGGGGGCAUUAGUAUUCAAUUGUCAGAGGUGAAAUUCUUGGAUUUAUUGAAGACUAACUACUGCGAAAGCAUUUGCCAAGGACGUUUUCAUUAAUCAAGAACGAAAGUUAGGGGAUCGAAGACGAUCAAAUACCGUCGUAGUCUUAACCAUAAACUAUGCCGACUAGGGAUCGGACGAAGUUAAUUUAUAAUGACGCGUUCGGCACCUU